Molecule: ribosomal RNA, 497 nt
Filed under: uncultured bacterium
Lineage: Bacteria
Description: partial 16S ribosomal RNA
Rfam family: Bacterial small subunit ribosomal RNA
Source: RNAcentral
GAUGAACGCUGGCGGCGUGCCUAAUACAUGCAAGUCGAGCGAACAGACGAGGAGCUUGCUCCUCUGACGUUAGCGGCGGACGGGUGAGUAACACGUGGAUAACCUACCUAUAAGACUGGGAUAACUUCGGGAAACCGGAGCUAAUACCGGAUAAUAUAUUGAACCGCAUGGUUCAAUAGUGAAAGACGGUUUUGCUGUCACUUAUAGAUGGAUCCGCGCCGCAUUAGCUAGUUGGUAAGGUAACGGCUUACCAAGGCAACGAUGCGUAGCCGACCUGAGAGGGUGAUCGGCCACACUGGAACUGAGACACGGUCCAGACUCCUACGGGAGGCAGCAGUAGGGAAUCUUACGCAAUGGGCGAAAGCUUGACGGAGCAAAGCCGCGUGAGUGAUGAAGGUCUUCGGAUCGUAAAACUCUGUUAUUAGGGAAGAACAAAUGUGUAAGUAACUAUGCACGUCUUGACGGUACCUAAUCAGAAAGCCACGGCUAACUACGUG